This 797-nucleotide ribosomal RNA is filed under the name uncultured Methanosarcina sp. RNAcentral's name for it is "bacterial SSU rRNA". It matches the Rfam family "Archaeal small subunit ribosomal RNA", at positions 85 to 879 of the family's 1478-position model. Lineage: Archaea; Methanobacteriati; Methanobacteriota; Methanomicrobia; Methanosarcinales; Methanosarcinaceae. The record is from RNAcentral.
ACUGCUCAGUAACACGUGGAUAACCUGCCCUUGGGGACCGGCAUAACCCCGGGAAACUGGGGAUAAUUCCGGAUAACGCAUAUGUGCUGGAAUGCUUUAUGCGUAAAAUGGAUUCGUCUGCCCAAGGAUGGGUCUGCGGCCUAUCAGGUAGUAGUGGGUGUAAUGUACCUACUAGCCGACAACGGGUACGGGUUGUGAGAGCAAGAGCCCGGAGAUGGAUUCUGAGACAUGAAUCCAGGCCCUACGGGGCGCAGCAGGCGCGAAAACUUUACAAUGCGGGAAACCGUGAUAAGGGGACACCGAGUGUCAGCAUCAUAUGCUGGCUGUCCGGGUGUGUAAAAUACACCCGUUAGCAAGGGCCGGGCAAGACCGGUGCCAGCCGCCGCGGUAACACCGGCGGCCCGAGUGGUGAUCGUGAUUAUUGGGUCUAAAGGGUCCGUAGCCGGUUUGGUCAGUCCUCCGGGAAAUCUGAUAGCUCAACUAUUAGGCUAUCGGGGGAUACUACCAGACUUGGAACCGGGAGAGGUAAGAGGUACUACAGGGGUAGGAGUGAAAUCUUGUAAUCCCUGUGGGACCACCUGUGGCGAAGGCGUCUUACCAGAACGGGUUCGACGGUGAGGGACGAAAGCUGGGGGCACGAACCGGAUUAGAUACCCGGGUAGUCCCAGCCGUAAACGAUGCUCGCUAGGUGUCAGGCAUGGCGCGACCGUGUCUGGUGCCGCAGGGAAGCCGUGAAGCGAGCCACCUGGGAAGUACGGCCGCAAGGCUGAAACUUAAAGGAAUUGGCGGGGGAGCAC